RNAcentral lists this long non-coding RNA (1446 nucleotides) under Heterocephalus glaber (naked mole-rat). RNAcentral's name for it is "lncRNA (ENSHGLG00000044759.1)". Lineage: Eukaryota; Metazoa; Chordata; Mammalia; Rodentia; Bathyergidae. The record is from RNAcentral.
AGGUCUUGCAGGGCCAGGCAAAAGUCAGCAGAGGUAAUCCUGCUCUUCAGUAUAUUUUAGUGUAUGAUUUUUUUUAAAAAGAUGAGUCAGAAGGAGAUAUUUCUCUGAAGAAAAAAGCCACCAAAGAAUACACUGUGUCCUGGGAGCUCCUUUCCCCUAUGGCCAGUCCUAAGAGCCAAGUGCAUCCCUGGCGUUCUCAGAACAAGGAGGACAGCAGAAUGUGAUUCCCACACACUCCCUGAGCCUGCUAGACCUAAGCCUUGUAGGACAUUCUGCCUAGAAACUCUGCACAAACUACACUUGUUCUAAGGGCCAUGGCUUUCCACUCUCCUGCCCCUUGACUUGCUGAAGCACCUGCAUGCACCUGGAAGUCAUGCUGCAGCCAGAGAAAGGAUCCACGAUUCUGUGGUUGUAAAAAGUGAAUGGAGUCAGAAAACCACCUUCUACACAGAAAAGCCCAGGCUCCUCAAUUUAGAAUUCACUGUGGCAGUACUGUUCCUGACAGGUCUCAAAGCACUUUGCCCUACAGCCUGCUGAGCCUACUGAGCCACACUCUGUGACAGUUUUAUCCCUCUCUGGAUGAAAACACUGGGGUUCAGAGAGGUAGCAAUCCAAUCAUCUGUCAUCUCUCUGCUUUUCUUCCAAUCUCCCACAGAGUAAGGCAGCAAGCAAUUGAGGGACUGGAGUGCUCAGGCCCACAGACCCCCAAGUAGAGGCUGGACCAUCAGAACUCCUGGCAGAGGCUCAGUGUAAAGCCGUUUAGCUUUUCCAUUUGCUGAGUUUCUUCCCUCCCACUGAUAACUCAUCCAAGUGAAGGAAACAAAAGCAGAGUGACGUCAUCUCCAGGGCCCCAGCUGCCAGAUUCUUCUGCAGAUCUGCAGCCAUCCUGACCUGUCCUAAAGGACCGGCCCCUGCAGCUGGCCUGGGGCCAGCCCAGAGGGAGCCUCUGUGAGCCAGUGCAGACCAGCCCAGGGACAUUCCCAACCAACCAGAAAACCCGGCUGGGGAGCACAUUCCUAGAAGAGCCUGCCACAUUGCAAGCCAGGGCCCAGCCUCCAGGGAAUGGGCGAGUGGGAGCCACUCCAAAGGGCACUCCUCAGUUUUGUCCCGUUGGGACUUCCUUCUUGUCCCAGAAGGAGCUGCCUAUCGGAGGAGCAGCCCAGGGAGUGAAGGCAGGUAGCAGGGUGCACAAGAACUGAGAAGUCAGUGGCUCUGGAGGAGCCCUGCUCACUGUGAAGCAGCACACCCCUUCCCUUUACCCUAACUAAACUUCUAAAUGUGAAUCAACUCAGAGAGAAGAGGAAAAGGGCACAUGGGUGUGCAGGGGACAAGGGCUCAAGACCGUUCCCAAAGCCACCAUUUGGCAGAGAAAUGUACCUACCUGCCAACUGCCAGCAGAAGAGGAUGUGUAAAGAAAGAUUUGGCCUUUCCGGGAAAGCCCUGGAG